This is a non-coding RNA of Vicia faba (fava bean), 636 nucleotides long. NCBI's taxonomy places the organism in Eukaryota, Viridiplantae, Streptophyta, Magnoliopsida, Fabales, Fabaceae. The record is from the annotation of a GenBank genome assembly.
AUGGCUACAACCAAUCUUCUAUUAUCAUUCCCUGUCUUGCAACAGCAACUGCUCACGCCCCAACACCAAAACCAAUCCUUCAUUCAAUUUCCAGCACCGUCAUACUCCUAAUGGAUUCCUCCCCACUCCGCUCCUUGGCCAACGACUUCUUGGGGGAUUUUGGAGCCAGAGACCCUUUCCCAGCUGAAGUGGAAAGUAAAUUCGGAGAUAAAGUUUUAGGUAGUUUUAAACACUGAACACAAAAUCCUCAAUCCCCCAAUAUCUCUGCUCUUUCUCUUUCUCAGCAGGAGUGUCUUCCCAUUUCCCCUUUACAGUCUCCUCUUUUCCAUAGAAGAUGCUAACCAGCUUAUUCGGAAAGGUUUUGGGUUGAGAGUUGUGAACGAGGAAGGAGAACUUAAACUUCGAUGCUUAUGGAAAUUGAGAGAUUUUAAAUGCGGAGUUGAGCUCAUUAACAGAAUCUCUAAUGUUGUAGAGACUGCAGGCCAUUUCCCAAAUAUCCACAUUGAACAACCAAAUCUAGUCAGCAGCAGAACUAUGGACAACAUCCAUUGAGUAUGAAUGAUUUCAUUGUAGCUGCAAAGAUAGAUGCAAUAAAGACAUCAGAUCUUGUCCCAAGGAAAAAGAGCUUGGGCUUAA